Molecule: transfer RNA, 82 nt
Filed under: Loxodonta africana (African savanna elephant)
Lineage: Eukaryota; Metazoa; Chordata; Mammalia; Proboscidea; Elephantidae
Rfam family: tRNA
About the family: Transfer RNA (tRNA) molecules are approximately 80 nucleotides in length. Their secondary structure includes four short double-helical elements and three loops (D, anti-codon, and T loops). Further hydrogen bonds mediate the characteristic L-shaped molecular structure. tRNAs have two regions of fundamental functional importance: the anti-codon, which is responsible for specific mRNA codon recognition, and the 3' end, to which the tRNAs corresponding amino acid is attached (by aminoacyl-tRNA synthetases). tRNAs cope with the degeneracy of the genetic code in two manners: having more than one tRNA (with a specific anti-codon) for a particular amino acid; and 'wobble' base-pairing, i.e. permitting non-standard base-pairing at the 3rd anti-codon position.
Source: Rfam by way of RNAcentral
GACAGGAUGGCCGAGUGGUCUAAGGCACUGCGUUCAGGUUGCAGUCUCCCCGGAUGUGUGGGUUCAAAAUCCACUCCUGACA